RNAcentral lists this ribosomal RNA (408 nucleotides) under uncultured bacterium. RNAcentral describes it as "partial 16S ribosomal RNA". It matches the Rfam family "Bacterial small subunit ribosomal RNA", at positions 29 to 526 of the family's 1533-position model. The record is from RNAcentral.
AGUGAACGCUGGCGGCGUGCCUAAUACAUGCAAGUCGAACGGAGUGGCGCACGGGUGAGUAAUAUAUAGCUAAUCUGCCCCUUGCUGGAGGACAACAGUUAGAAAUGACUGCUAAUACUCCAUAGCAAGGGAUGGGACUAUAUCGUAUCAGCUAGUCGGUGGGGUAACGGCCUACCGAGGCUAUGACGCGUAACAUGUCUGAGAGGAUGAUCAGUCAAAUUGUAAGUGAGGCACCGUCGGAACUCCUUCGGGAAGGGGCAGUAGGGUGUAUUGCGCAAUGGGCGAGUGCCAGACACGGCAACGCCGCGUGAAGGAUGACACGUUUCGGAGCAGAAACUCCUUUUAAUAGGGAAGCGGUACCUAACGAAUAAGCACCGGCUAACUCCGUGCCAGCAGCCGCGGUAAUUC